AGUGAACGCUGGCGGCAGGCCUAACACAUGCAAGUCGAACGGCAGCACAGGAGAGCUUGCUCUCUGGGUGGCGAGUGGCGGACGGGUGAGGAAUACAUCGGAAUCUACCUUUUCGUGGGGGAUAACGUAGGGAAACUUACGCUAAUACCGCAUACGACCUUAGGGUGAAAGCGGAGGACCUUCGGGCUUCGCGCGGAUAGAUGAGCCGAUGUCGGAUUAGCUAGUUGGCGGGGUAAAGGCCCACCAAGGCGACGAUCCGUAGCUGGUCUGAGAGGAUGAUCAGCCACACUGGAACUGAGACACGGUCCAGACUCCUACGGGAGGCAGCAGUGGAGAAUAUUGGACAAUGGGCGCAAGCCUGAUCCAGCCAUGCCGCGUGGGUGAAGAAGGCCUUCGGGUUGUAAAGCCCUUUUGUUGGGAAAGAAAAGCAGUCGGUUAAUACCCGAUUGUUCUGACGGUACCCAAAGAAUAAGCACCGGCUAACUUCGUGCCAGCAGCCGCCGCGG
RNAcentral lists this ribosomal RNA (506 nucleotides) under uncultured bacterium. RNAcentral describes it as "partial 16S ribosomal RNA". It matches the Rfam family "Bacterial small subunit ribosomal RNA", at positions 29 to 523 of the family's 1533-position model. The record is from RNAcentral.